Molecule: small RNA, 29 nt
Filed under: Bombyx mori (domestic silkworm)
Lineage: Eukaryota; Metazoa; Arthropoda; Insecta; Lepidoptera; Bombycidae
Description: ovarian small RNA-22493
Source: RNAcentral
UAGCUCAAUCUCCUCGUGCACCACCUCCC